This is a long non-coding RNA of Neofelis nebulosa (Clouded leopard), 357 nucleotides long. RefSeq lists it as uncharacterized. The transcript is spliced from 2 exons. The record is from RefSeq and is a predicted model, not a curated record. NCBI's taxonomy places the organism in Eukaryota, Metazoa, Chordata, Mammalia, Carnivora, Felidae.
UUUAAAAAAAAAACAACACAUAAAUUCACAGACACACAGUCAGCUAUACUUUACCCAGCAGCUGUAUGUGUCCACAGAAACUCACAUGGCUAAUUUCACUUCGUAGAUGUCUCCUAUGAGGACUCUCUUAACCCCCCCAGCCUCUCCAUCACUGUAUCACAUCACGUUUCACUGUUCCUAUAACCCUCUCCAUUGUGGUCCUCAAAUGUGGAACGAGAAAGGUGUCCAAUUAAUCUACACCUGAAUUUCUCCUGCAACUUGACUUACUAUGGCAGCUGAAUGUCCAAACACUGGCAUUUCACUUCCCAGAGUGGUAAUCUUCUAACUAAAGUCAAAUGAUUAAAGAAUUUCAAGUAA